Molecule: ribosomal RNA, 402 nt
Filed under: Verrucomicrobiota bacterium
Lineage: Bacteria; Pseudomonadati; Verrucomicrobiota
Description: Verrucomicrobia bacterium partial 16S ribosomal RNA
Rfam family: Bacterial small subunit ribosomal RNA
Source: RNAcentral
UGGGGAAUUUUGCACAAUGGGGGAAACCCUGAUGCAGCGACGCCGCGUGAUUUAGAAGGCCUUCGGGUUGUAAAAAUCUUUUCUAUGGGAAGAAAAUGACAGUACCAUAGGAAUAAGGACUGGCUAAUUACGUGCCAGCAGCCGCGGUAAUACGUAAGGUCCGAGCGUUGUCCGGAAUCAUUGGGCGUAAAGGGUACGUAGGCGGGUAAGCAAGUUAGAAGUGAAAUCCUGUAGCUCAACUACGGUAAGCUUUUAAAACUGCUCAUCUUGAGAUAUGGAAGGGAAAGUGGAAUUCCUAGUGUAGCGGUGAAAUGCGCAGAUAUUAGGAGGAAUACCGGUGGCGAAGGCGACUUUCUGGCCAUAAUCUGACGCUGAGGUACGAAAGCGUGGGUAGCAAACAGG